AUGAAGAAGAAGAAGGAGUUGCACAACUUAGAGAUGAAGUGAAGAAGAUGUUAAUAGAAGCUCAUCAUGCUACAUCAACAAGAAAAUUAUUAGAGAUUAUUGACAAUACCCAAAGAUUUGGAGUAUCAUAUCAUUUUGAAAAGGAAAUUGAGGAAUCACUUAAACACACAUCUACAACAACAUGAGUUGUGUUGAAUUUGCACGUCUAGACUUCAACAUGUUGCAAAAGUUGCAUCAAAAAGAGCUAAGUGGCCUUACAAGGUGGUGAAAAGGUUUGGAUGUUGAAAGAAACUUUUUAUUUGCACGAGAUUGUUUGGUAGAAGCCUAUUUUUGGAUAAUAGGAGUGUACUUUGAGCCACAAAUAUUGUAGGGCGCGAAGAUUUUCAACUCAAAUAAUCUCUCUUGCGUCCAUAUUAGACGAUUUGUAUGAUGUUUAUGGAACACAUGAUGAACUUGAAAUGUUCACGGAUGCCAUUCAAAGAUGGGACAUAAAUGCAUCACAACAACUACCCCCAUAUACCUAAAGCUCCUAUACCAAUAUAUUUUUGAUACUUAUGAUGAAAUGGAAGAGUUGUUGGCAAAGGAAAACGUAUCCUAUCGAGUUCACUAUGCAAAAA
Molecule: long non-coding RNA, 617 nt
Organism: Solanum lycopersicum (tomato)
Lineage: Eukaryota; Viridiplantae; Streptophyta; Magnoliopsida; Solanales; Solanaceae
Source: RefSeq, a predicted model, not a curated record